CUGUGUCUCAGCCAACAAACAGCAAUGACAAAUUUUUUUUGUCUCCAAAGUAGUUUUCUGUUAAAGUAGCACAGUAUAACCCGCGAAAACUAACCACGAACAGGAUCUCUAAGAGGAAUACUUUCAUCUGCUGGUGGCACUUUCAUCCAUUCCAAAUUACUUCCUUGAUGAAUGUGGGCACUGACGGUGUUUUCCCCUCUAUGCAGUCUCCAGCCAGAUCCCGAAGAAAUUUUCUUACUUUGGACAAAAAUUUCAUGAAUUCCAUCUGCCCAUGGAUGAUUUCUACGCCACCGUCUUUUAAAUGGCUCAGAUCGAAACCAACACGAUUAAAGGUGCCGUAUUGAAUAGUAUCCUAAAACGCUCUUACGCUUUUAGUGAAAGUUUCCCUAUGGGUGACAGCAAUUGCUCUCACAUAAAUAAAACACCAGGACGAUUGACAGAAUGGGUGUUCCUAGAUUCCAGAUUAGAAGUUUUGGUCAACUAUUGGAGCAAAUGAAUCUGCCUUGCUUAGGAAAAAAUAAUUACUUUGAUGAUUUUCAAUAUAAUGAAAGCUGAAACCCACCCAAUGGAAAUGGUAAGGCUGCGACCAAUUUUAUAAAAUAUAGUUAGGCACCAUUCUAAACGGUAUUAGGUAGGGAAAUUAAUUAUCAAUGAAACAAACUAGGCUUCAAAUAUUUUAAA
Long non-coding RNA from Uranotaenia lowii, 681 nucleotides. RefSeq lists it as uncharacterized. NCBI's taxonomy places the organism in Eukaryota, Metazoa, Arthropoda, Insecta, Diptera, Culicidae. The transcript is spliced from 3 exons. The record is from RefSeq and is a predicted model, not a curated record.